AGUUGAUACCAGUUUACUCUCCUAUCAACCCAGUCAAGUGGCAUGGAAGUUGUAAAGGUUGGAGGUCCCAUCUACAGGAUUGGAGUUGGAGGUGGAGCUGCUUCAUCUGUGCAGGUGCAGGGAGAUAACACCAGUGACCUGGACUUUGGGGCUGUGCAGCGAGGAGACCCGGAGAUGGAACAGAAGAUGAACCGUGUGAUCAGGGCUUGUGUGGAGGCCCCCAAGGGAAACCCCAUCUGCAGCCUUCAUGAUCAGGGCGCUGGUGGCAAUGGCAAUGUCCUAAAAGAGCUGAGUGACCCAGCUGGAGCCAUCAUUUACACCAGCCGCUUCCAGCUUGGGGACCCAACCCUGAAUGCCCUGGAAAUCUGGGGGGCUGAGUACCAGGAAUCAAAUGCUCUUCUGCUGAGGUCCCCCGACCGGGACUUCCUGACUCAUGUCAGUGCCCGUGAACGUUGCCCGGCUUGCUUCGUGGGCACCAUCACUGGAGACCGGAGAAUAGUGCUGGUGGACGAUCGGGAGUGUCCUGUCAGAAGAAAUGGCCAGGGGGAUGCCCCCCCGACACCCCCGCCAACCCCUGUGGACCUGGAGCUCGAAUGGG
RNAcentral lists this small RNA (598 nucleotides) under Pan troglodytes (chimpanzee). Its description in RNAcentral is "processed transcript". Lineage: Eukaryota; Metazoa; Chordata; Mammalia; Primates; Hominidae. The record is from RNAcentral.